GCACUUCAGCAAACCCUUUCCUUCUGUCUCAGUGCUGGUCAUGGGUUAAAAAGUGCUAGAGUAAUUCAGCGUGUAUCCAGACGAGUCUCCUUUUCUAUUGGAGCUUGUCUCUACAAACUUUGAAACAAUC
This is a small nucleolar RNA of Sinocyclocheilus anshuiensis, 130 nucleotides long. Lineage: Eukaryota; Metazoa; Chordata; Actinopteri; Cypriniformes; Cyprinidae. The record is from Ensembl.